Molecule: ribosomal RNA, 513 nt
Filed under: uncultured bacterium
Lineage: Bacteria
Description: partial 16S ribosomal RNA
Rfam family: Bacterial small subunit ribosomal RNA
Source: RNAcentral
GACGAACGCUGGCGGCGUGCCUAAUACAUGCAAGUUGAGCGCUGAAGAUUGGUACUUGUACCGAUUGGAUGAGCAGCGAACGGGCGAGUAACGCGUGGGGAAUCUGCCUUUGAGCGGGGGACAACAUUUGGAAACGAAUGCUAAUACCGCAUAAUAGCUUUAAACAUAAGUUUUAAGUUUGAAAGAUGCAAUUGCAUCACUCAAAGAUGAUCCCGCGUUGUAUUAGCUAGUUGGUGAGGUAAAGGCUCACCAAGGCGAUGAUACAUAGCCGACCUGAGAGGGUGAUCGGCCACAUUGGGACUGAGACACGGCCCAAACUCCUACGGGAGGCAGCAGUAGGGAAUCUUCGGCAAUGGACGAAAGUCUGACCGAGCAACGCCGCGUGAGUGAAGAAGGUUUUCGGAUCGUAAAACUCUGUUGUUAGAGAAGAACGACGAGGAGAGUGGAAAGCUCCUCGUGUGACGGUAUCUAACCAGAAAGGGACGGCUAACUACGUGCCAGCCGCCGCGGUAA